Molecule: long non-coding RNA, 1269 nt
Filed under: Lathyrus oleraceus (garden pea)
Lineage: Eukaryota; Viridiplantae; Streptophyta; Magnoliopsida; Fabales; Fabaceae
Description: Pisum sativum (pea) long non-coding RNA (PSAT_LNC026116)
Source: RNAcentral
UCAAAGUAUGACCAUCCGAAGGACCUCGGGGUCCCUACGAAUCUUAGAUCUGAAGCAUUCCUAGGGGUAUAUAAAUGGAUUUCCUUUGAAAUCCAUUUCAUUUCACACUCCUUUCUCUCUCUUACUCCCGCUGCUCUCUACUCUCUCCUCUCUCUACUCCUCUCUCCAAACCCUUCUUCGGCUGCCACCCUAAACACCCUUGACCACCCCUAGAACCACCCACAAACUUAGAUUUUGGUUGAACUUCAACCGGAAUCUUCAUACAUUCAAAUAAAAUCCCCAUAUCACCCUUCACCCUUCAACCUUCAUACAUGGGUUCUUCAAAUGAACCCUAAUCAAACCCCUAACCCAGAAACCCUUCCACACAAGAACCCUAACCCUCAAAUCGAAGAACCCUAACCCCGAACCGAAGAACCCUACCUCUAUUUCUCAACCCAAAAAACCCUAGGGAUGAACCCUAACAAUGUUCAUCCUUGACUUAUGAACCCUAACCCCCAAAUUUUCCAGAAAUAAAAAAUAUUCCCCAAAUCAACCCUUAAAGUUGGCUGAUCCAUAAAUCGGUCUUCCCUACACCCUGAUCAUAACAUCAUAUCAACAAAAUUAAAACACAGGAUCCGAAACCCAACAUUAAAACAACAUCGAACCCUAAACUUUUCAACACAUUACCAUACCACGCAUGAUAUAUGCAGAUAAAAGCAAGUGAAUAAAGAAGAAGAAAAGAAUCAACCCUUAAGGACGCGGCUAUCUCUGGUAAAAAGGUAAUUGAUUCGAGCAUUUUAUUUCCUCUCUUGUAUGUGUUGAUCUUUCCCUCUCCUUCUAUAAUUCCUUUUCUUUGUUUAAUGUGAGGUGCUAUCGGAUUUUCAAAGAGGCUAAGCUUAGAAGAAUUAUGGUUUCAAUGUGAAACCCUAAUCUCAAGUUAAUUUGAGCUUUGGUGAUGGAUUGGGUUUGCAGCAGCAAAAAGUUCUUCUCUUAUGGUUUUUUUUCGUCCCUGAUUCAGUUUUAGAGUUAGGUUUUUAUAGUUAAUUUUUAGGUUUUUGUAUUUAAUUAGAUUGAUUCAAUUAGGAAAUUUGUAAUCUUAUUGUAAUUGCAAUUGUGAUUUUGAUGAAUUUUGUGUUAGAAAUAUAUAUUAGGUUUGAAUUUAACUGAUUGUAUUUGGUUCGACUUUGGUUUGUAAUUCGCAAUUUGAAUAUAAAAAAAAUAAAAUGGAAGUUUUGAUUGAAUUGAUUUACAGGUUUUUGAUUUCUUUUGAAUUCCAUUUCUGCGCGCCUU